Nerophis lumbriciformis (worm pipefish) is the source of this 139-nucleotide small nucleolar RNA. The record is from RefSeq and is a predicted model, not a curated record. Lineage: Eukaryota; Metazoa; Chordata; Actinopteri; Syngnathiformes; Syngnathidae.
AAAGGCUCCAAUCGAAGCCAUUCAUGCUCUCCCGUAGCACUGAGUGGUCAAGUGCAAGCCAAGGUAAAAGACUUUCAUAGACGGUCACUGUUCAGUUGGAAAAAUAACUGCUCGAGCAACAUUUUGGUAAAGAACAUUA